Molecule: long non-coding RNA, 206 nt
Filed under: Elaeis guineensis (African oil palm)
Lineage: Eukaryota; Viridiplantae; Streptophyta; Magnoliopsida; Arecales; Arecaceae
Description: long non-coding RNA (EGUI_LNC001922)
Source: RNAcentral
GAUUAAACAGGUCAGAUUAAAUGGGUCAGAAAUAGGUUAAACAAAUUAAAUAAAUUAAUUGACUCAAUCUGAUCUGAAUAUUAAAUAGGUUAAAUGGGUUAAACGGGUCAGAUAUCUAAAAUCCAAUCCAAUUAUUAAACAUGUUAAACGGAUCGAUCCAUUUAUGACCCAAACCUGUUUAGUCUAAAUCUAAAUCUAUUUAUGAC